GCCGGGCAUGGUGGCGCAUGCCUGUAAUCCCAGCUACUCGGGAGGCUGAGACAGGAGAAUCGCUUGAACCCGGGAGGUGGAGGUUGCAGUGAGCCGAGAUCGCACCACUGCACUCCAGCCUGGGCAACAAGAGCGAAACUCUGUCUCAA
Molecule: small RNA, 149 nt
Filed under: Macaca fascicularis (crab-eating macaque)
Lineage: Eukaryota; Metazoa; Chordata; Mammalia; Primates; Cercopithecidae
Description: Metazoan signal recognition particle RNA (ENSMFAG00000062861.1)
Source: Rfam by way of RNAcentral